AGAGUUUGAUCCUGGCUCAGGAUGAACGCUAGCGAUAGGCUUAACACAUGCAAGUCGAGGGGCAGCAUGAUCUUAGCUUGCUAAGGUCGAUGGCGACCGGCGCACGGGUGCGUAACGCGUAUGCAACUUGCCUUACAGAGGGGGAUAACCCGUUGAAAGACGGACUAAAACCGCAUACACUUGUAUUAUUGCAUGAUAUUACAAGGAAAUAUUUAUAGCUGUAAGAUAGGCAUGCGUCCCAUUAGCUGGUUGGUGAGGUAACGGCUCACCAAGGCGACGAUGGGUAGGGGAACUGAGAGGUUUAUCCCCCACACUGGUACUGAGACACGGACCAGACUCCUACGGGAGGCAGCAGUGAGGAAUAUUGGUCAAUGGGCGAGAGCCUGAACCAGCCAAGUCGCGUGAAGGAAGACAGUCCUAAGGAUUGUAAACUUCUUUUAUACGGGAAUAACGGGCGAUACGAGUAUUGCAUUGAAUGUACCG
RNAcentral lists this ribosomal RNA (483 nucleotides) under Porphyromonas sp. oral clone BP1-56. Its description in RNAcentral is "bacterial SSU rRNA". It matches the Rfam family "Bacterial small subunit ribosomal RNA", at positions 8 to 480 of the family's 1533-position model. Lineage: Bacteria; Pseudomonadati; Bacteroidota; Bacteroidia; Bacteroidales; Porphyromonadaceae. The record is from RNAcentral.